This 443-nucleotide ribosomal RNA is filed under the name uncultured bacterium. RNAcentral's name for it is "partial 16S ribosomal RNA". It matches the Rfam family "Bacterial small subunit ribosomal RNA", at positions 338 to 795 of the family's 1533-position model. The record is from RNAcentral.
CCUAGGGGAGGCAGCAGUGGGGAAUAUUGGGCAAUGGGCGCAAGCCCGACCCAGCAACGCCGCGUGAAGGAAGAAGGCUUUCGGGUUGUAAACUUCUUUUCUCAGGGACGAAGCAUGUGACGGUACCUGAAGAAUAAGCCACGGCUAACUACGUGACAGCCGCCGCUGUAAUAAGUAGGAGGCAAGCGUUAUGCGGAUUUAAUGGGUGUAAAGGGCGUGUAGGCGGGGACGCAAGUCAGAGGUGAAAAGCACGGGCUCAACCUGUGGCCUGCAUUUGAAACUGGGUUUCUUGAGUAAGGGAGAGGCAGACGGAAUUCCAAGUGUAGCGGUGAAAUGCGUAGAUAUAAGGAGGAACACCAGUGGCGAAGGCGGUCUGCUGGACAGCAACUGACGCUGAGGCGCGAAAGCGUGGGGAGCAAACAGGAUUAGAUACCCGUGUAGUC